Molecule: small nuclear RNA, 105 nt
Organism: Sorex araneus (European shrew)
Lineage: Eukaryota; Metazoa; Chordata; Mammalia; Eulipotyphla; Soricidae
Source: Ensembl
GUGCUCCUUGGGAAGGCAUAUAUACCAAAACUGGAAUGACAGAGAAGAUUGACAUGACCCCUGUGCAAGGCUAAUAUGCACACCCAUGAAACAUUCCUUAUUAGA